Molecule: ribosomal RNA, 253 nt
Filed under: uncultured bacterium
Lineage: Bacteria
Description: partial 16S ribosomal RNA
Rfam family: Bacterial small subunit ribosomal RNA
Source: RNAcentral
UACGGGGGGGGCAAGCGUUGUUCGGAAUUACUGGGCGUAAAGCGUGCGCAGGCGGUUGUGUAAGGCAGGUGUGAAAUCCCCGGGCUUAACCUGGGAAUUGCAUUUGUGACUGCACGGCUAGAGUUUGGCAGAGGGGGGUAGAAUUCCACGUGUAGCAGUGAAAUGCGUAGAUAUGUGGAGGAAUACCGAUGGCGAAGGCAGCCCCCUGGGUCAAGACUGACGCUCAUGCACGAAAGCGUAGGGAGCAAACAGG